CAGGAUUGUUGAGCUCCAUUGGCGGGAUUUCGCCGUCUACGUUUCUCUUUCUUCGCGGACGAACACGCGCCAGGGGCUGAGCGCUGUGCGAUGCAUCGACUUCACGUCGGGUGCGCGCCGGCAUGUCUCUCGUGUUAGGGGCUUGUAGCUCAGUUGGUUAGAGCGCGCGCUUGAUAAGCGUGAGGUCGGAAGUUCAAGUCUUCCCAGGCCCACCAUUUUGAUCGAGUGCGGAGCAUUCGUCUUCUGGUACGGGGCCAUAGCUCAGCUGGGAGAGCGCGUGCUUUGCAAGCAUGAGGUCGUCGGUUCGAUCCCGUCUGGCUCCACCAGAUGGAAUUGAAACUCGAUGCUGACUCGUUCAAAUCGUCCGCGAAACAUCACUUCGCACUCAUUGGUCCGGAUGGACGGUGACGUGCGUGUUUUCUGACAUCGUAAAGAGGAGAUCGAUCCGAGUUGGAUCGUGCGGAGAAUAUCCGCGCGAGACUUCAUUAUCUCCGGAUCAUUUCGGCGCUCGCGCGCCUUUCAGUGUAGCUCACAAGGCUGCGCCUGAAAGACAUGUGAGUUGUGAAUGAUCCUUUUAGCGAAGCUUGGCCGCCUCGCUAUCGGAACGGUCUUACGAAGCAAGCUGGUCUUUCUAGUCAAUGUCCGGUUGCAGAUAGCGUUCAUCGAGGGCGCGUGCCGCAAGGCAAUUCUGCAGACAACAUUCUGCCGAGUGUGUGGACAUUGAUAAUGAGAGCAAUCAAGUGC
This 744-nucleotide transfer RNA is filed under the name Bradyrhizobium sp. Its description in RNAcentral is "partial contains 16S-23S ribosomal RNA intergenic spacer and 23S ribosomal RNA". The stretch from base 139 to 212 matches the Rfam family "tRNA". Lineage: Bacteria; Pseudomonadati; Pseudomonadota; Alphaproteobacteria; Hyphomicrobiales; Nitrobacteraceae. The record is from RNAcentral.